Molecule: long non-coding RNA, 983 nt
Organism: Pecten maximus
Lineage: Eukaryota; Metazoa; Mollusca; Bivalvia; Pectinida; Pectinidae
Exons: 3
Source: RefSeq, a predicted model, not a curated record
UUAUGCAUGUGUGCCAUCAUGUGCACUGUGAAAGAGUACGAUGUUGCAGUAAUCAUAAUAAUAAUUAAAUAAAAAUAUAUAACAACAACUAAAAUAUAUAUAUAUAAUAAUAUCGAUAGGAUUUCUCAUGAUAUCGUAGGCGGCCUAAUAACUUUAUUCGACAUUUUUCUUCUUCGUUCACUUGGCCCUACUAUACACAUGUAUACCCACCGCCAGGCGGCGCUCCCUUCAGUUUAGCGGGAGAUUUGUAUUACAAGUGGCGGCCAUUUUGUUUGUUUACGGAAACGUGAUGAAAGCUUAGACCUAGAACAAAAUCACGUUAUAUAUACAGUACGGUAUAUAUUGGCGACAUUUAAUUUCCCCACUCACGGAAUACAAUCGACAAACUGGGAACAGAAUAUCAAAUUUCGUCUAGCUUUUGGCGACUUAUGAUACCCCUUUCACCGGCAAACACUGAAUUAUCGGACAACAUGAAAUCAGGGACUAAAUUCACCAGCAUUCAUGAUCCUCGGACCACCCGCCCCCUACGCACAGCCGAUUUAUAAAUGUUGCAUCUUUCAAUCAGUGUCAAUCCCAAGAAGAACCCUGAUCAGCUCCUGGAAAAAUCAGUGUUCUUGCAGUAUUGUCAGUCAAAUCUCAAGGAAAGGAUCCCAGAAGAGGAACAUUUACAUUAUUUCAGACUUUUUUCUUUCCUGUGUAACAAUGCCUCAAACAGCUAACACAUUUUAUAUAGUAUACAAUACAAUGUGUAUUAAUAACAGUCCAGUUAGAGUGCUGUGUUAUGCAGUAAAAAUACUUAAUUCUUGAUGACAUGUUGGUUUUAUGUUUACAUUAAACGGUAGUUAUAAUAUAUACUAAAGAAACAUAGUGGAUAAUGCCUUGUACAGGAGCAGGAGUAUGACAGUGUAAUAGUACAUGACUGCUGCGUUCAUCCAUGGAAGGAGUCUGUUAUUCGAAAUAAAGCUUUCCAUGAGGACGAAAAA